This is a long non-coding RNA of Galeopterus variegatus (Sunda flying lemur), 3835 nucleotides long. RefSeq lists it as uncharacterized. NCBI's taxonomy places the organism in Eukaryota, Metazoa, Chordata, Mammalia, Dermoptera, Cynocephalidae. The transcript has 4 exons. The record is from RefSeq and is a predicted model, not a curated record.
AUCGAAAUGCAACUUAAAAUUAGCUACUCCAGUAGUAGUUACAGCAGUGCCACCCAGCAAAGGAUUCCUUAAAUAUGAAGCGCAGAACAUCCCAGAUGUUGGCAACGGAAAACUGCAAAAGUUGGCUCUGCCUUUUUGUUUGUAACAAGCUCAACACUAACCUCCAUCUGAAGAGCACAUGAAGGUCAACAGGAGCUGCUGGUCCAUGAUGCUGCCUUGACCAUGUGCCCCCCCACCCCACCCUAGAGAGAGGACACUGCUGCAUGGUGAUGGUGCAGGGAGUGACAAAGAACCUACCAUGUGCAGCCAGUGCAAGAAACAGAGCAGGUGCUGCCCCUCCCUGCCCAGCAGACAGACAGGAGCAUGGCAGUCUUCCCUGAGGAUGGGAACAGGUGGCCACUGAUGGGGCACUCCCUUGAUGGAAGUUCUAUCAGCUUGUGCUCAGUGGCUGGCCCUGCCACUGCCAGGACAGCCGGCGGGAUAGGGUAUGGGGCUGGCCUGUGGAUGGGCAGGGCAGGCACAGGCCAUGGGGUGUCAUGGGGGGUUGUGGGGAAGGAGAGUGCAGGCCUUUGACAGCCUCCCACCCACCUGCUCCAGCACCAACUCCUCCAUCCUGGGUGCUUGACUGGACCAGGACCUGGAAGGUGUCUGUCCACCCCCAACUCCCCUGCCUCCAGAUGCAAGUGACCUACACCAGCUAAAUACGCCUGGUGUGGGCCUGCAGUGCUGUGCCCACCUCCUCCUUGCCUUGCUGCAGCCCCGGGGAACACAGAGGCAGAGCCAGAUGGGCAGGAGGGCUGGGACAGUGCAUGUGAGCACAUGAUGAAGGGACGGGACUGGGCCACACAAAGGAGCCUCCAGAGGCAGGUGGACUGAACCCCACGGGCUCAAGUGUCCUGGCAUUCCCCUGAGAGGAGCCUGGGAGGGUCUAUGGAACAUGGUCGUCUAUGGAACAUGGUCUCAACACCAACACCCAGCUCCUGGUCCCUGGAAGGCUUGCUGCAAGUUACAUGCCCAUGUUCCCACCUGGGCACCCUCAGUGGAUCUAGAGUCCCCUAAGAACAGGGAAUCAGAAAAUGGCCAUGAGUGGCCAGGACCCCAUCAGAUGCUAGCCAGAGGAGCUGUCCUUGGGGACGCUGAGGCCACAAGGCUCAGUAGGCAGUGUGUCCCAGAACACAGUGGUGAGGACCAGCUUUAUUUUCAAAAGGGCCACAGAACAGGGAGGUGGCCCCAGACCACUCCGUCUUCCUCCAGCUGCCACAGCAGCUCCUUUGGCUGUGGCAAGAACAUACUGGUGUCCACUCUCUGGAAGUUGAUGUGGUUGAUCACAGAUACCAGCACCUCUGCAAUGUGGCAGAAUUGAAAGUAGCCUCCUGGGGGCCUGGCUUAGUGGCUACUCUGUCCUCCUCCAACCCCACCACCAGGAUGUGGAGCCUCCUUUCAGUGACAACGUUGAGGAAGUGGUAAAAUUCUUCAGAGUGAUUACCAAGCAUGAUCUCGUGAUGACCUGGGCCAGGGAGGAGAGGCCACUGAGCUGCCAGGUGCUCACAGCCUCGCAUGUUUCUGAUGGCCAAGGAGAGAACCCAGGAAGCAAAAGGCCACAGACAUGGGUUAGUCCUCCUGGACAAAGAAUGGGGGAUUAAUAAGACAUAGGCACCAAGAGGCCAGAUGGCAACCAGGGGAGUCUGAGUCACACAGCCUUCAAGCCUCCCCCAGGAUACAGCAGACUGACCUGCCUCAGCCUCCAAAGUGAAACCCUUACAUUCACAACUGGUGGCUGGUAGUAACUUGAGUCCUAUAGGCCACAGCUUCCCUGAGACUGCAGGCUGUCACCCGAAACCUAUCCCUGUCCCCCCACCUCACUGCAGCCAUGGCCUUGGUAAUUUCCCUGCCCCCCACCUCCCCCAAGCCCUGGUGAGCCUCUCCCUUGCCCCUGCCUUCAUGCCAGACAGCCGCCCCACUGGCCAUGGUGGUGCCAGCUGGGCAUGGAGUCCCUCACCUUGCUGACUUCCUGCUGCAUGGUGCAGAGCUCUUGCUGCAGGAAGUGCUACAUGUCAGGCAGGAUACAGCUAUUGACCCAGUUGUGGAGAGUCCAGGAGACCACAGCGGCACCACCCCCUGCCUGAUGUGCAAGCGCCAAUCAAGUCUUUUGUGCCAGGCCCGGUGCCACAGUUAGGUGAUGUAGGACAUACCUCUGGACCCCAGUCCUCUCCUGCCUCCUGAGGGCUCCAGGCUGGGGUCCUCGCAGUCAACAGCUGACUCAGGGUGUGUGGGCUCAGGGGAGGAACAUGGCAGGGAAUGACACAGAGAGGCUGGAGCCUCAGCAGUGCUGCUGUAACCACUUUCCCAUGCCUGCAUCUCCCAGAGGGAUGGUCGGGAGGCCUGCUUUGCCCUCCUGCAGGAAGGCAGGAGACUGGCAUCAGACAAGUCAUGGGUGGGGCACGCCUGCCUCACUGGGUUGUGCACUUGUCAGUGCCACCCUCUGGACACAAACUUCUUGCAGACCUGCGUGAACUUCACAGAUGUGACCUCCAGAGGUGGACUGCUCUACUGCCACAGCAGGUACAAGACCAAGGAGUGUGGGUGAUAUUGUGUCACAGGGCAGGCCACAGAGGCAAUUCCACGGGGCUACGUCCUGCCCAUGAGGAGAGAAAAACCACUUCAUCCUCCAGCAAAUGUUGACUGACCAGCUGAAGGAGUGGAAGAUGGCAUGGCACAGUGAACUGCCAUAGCUCCAAUUUUGUGCCUGGUAGUGCUGAUGUAGGCUUUGCUGCUUCUGAGUGGGCUGACCAAUCUCAGGAGCCCCCAGGCCUCUGAGUGAUGGGGACAAGCGCCCCACCUCUGACAUUGCUGCCUAGCAGCCUCUCUUUUCCUGAUGACCUUGGCAUAACAGCCUGGUGGUGGCCACACCUCCCACUAACCCCCAUCACUAGGUGCCUGUGAGCUUUCAGUAGACAGUGGUAGUCCUUCACACCAGGCUGUCCCAGAACUCAUUCAGUCAAAUGAGAAGUACACAGGCAGGCUGAACAUGUUCUCCAUUGAGGAGCCCCUGGGGAGUGGCAAGGGUCUGCGGCAGGAGCCCACCUCCCCGUGCCCCACCCUCAGCUACGCUCCAGGUAACAUAUCAAGAGAGCUUUGAAAUGCCAUGAAUGGAACCACCUGGGGCCUCCAACACUAGUGGAGCUGCCAGAUGAUGCAGCCCCUCGAGGCACCCAAGCUGAGCCCCACCCAAAUUGCUGAUCACACAAUCGCAAGCAAACAAGAUGGCUUUGGGGUGGCAUUUGACAGUAUAGACAACCCAUAAGGGCAUCGGCUCCCUCUCACACCUGUCCCAGGCUUUUGGCUUCUGGCUGAUCCAGGAGCUCUAAUGCAUUGUCGUCAUCAUCUGGGUUCCUGAAUUGUGGGAUUCCUUCCCAUUUUCACUGAUGCUGUUGUGGGAAAUUGGAAAAGGACAAGAGCCAGAAGAGGAAAUCUGAUUGCAAGUAGGAUAGCCAGUAAAGCCACUUCCAUGAGGACAGGCACGCACAGCGACAGGAGACAAAGACAGAUAGGGAGCUGUGCCCCCACGUAGGGUACUAUUUAAUUCAAUCAAUGACCAAAUGACACAAAUCCAGCUGGCAGGACUCAAACCCCCAGGAAUGCAACCGUCCUGCUCUUGAGCCACUCUCUCACUGGAGUGCUCCUUCCUCUGACAGACUGUGCUCCCUCUCUCUCUAAAUAAAACUGCUCUUUGUAUUUUGCCUGGUGCUCUUGAGCUACACUAUCACUGGAGCCUACUCCAUCCUCUCUCGAGUGUACUUUCUCUCUUACUAAAUAAACUGCUCUUUGAUUUUCA